CCCAGACUCCUACGGGGGGCAGCAGUGGGGAAUAUUGCACAAUGGGGGGAACCCUGAUGCAGCGACGCCGCGUGAAGGAAGAAGUAUCUCGGUAUGUAAACUUCUAUCAGCAGGGAAGAAAGAAGACGGUACCUGAUUAAGAAGCCCCGGCUAACUACGUGCCAGCAGCCGCGGUAAUACGUAGGGGGCAAGCGUUAUCCGGAUUUACUGGGUGUAAAGGGAGCGUAGACGGCAGCGCAAGUCUGAAGUGAAAUGCCGGGGCUUAACCCCGGAACUGCUUUGGAAACUGUGCAGCUAGAGUGCAGGAGAGGUAAGUGGAAUUCCUAGUGUAGCGGUGAAAUGCGUAGAUAUCAGGAGGAACACCGGUGGCGAAGGCGGCUUACUGGACCAUAACUGACGUUGAGGCUCGAAAGCGUGGGGAGCGAACAGGAUUAGAUACCCCUGUA
This 446-nucleotide ribosomal RNA is filed under the name uncultured bacterium. Its description in RNAcentral is "bacterial SSU rRNA". It matches the Rfam family "Bacterial small subunit ribosomal RNA", at positions 330 to 792 of the family's 1533-position model. The record is from RNAcentral.